CGUCCAGACUCCUACGGGAGGCAGCAGUGAGGAAUAUUGGUCAAUGGGCGCGAGCCUGAACCAGCCAAGUCGCGUGAGGGAGGACGGCCCUACGGGUUGUAAACCUCUUUUGCCGGGGAGCAACGGGCGUCACGUGUGGCGCCACUGAGAGUACCCGGAGAAAAAGCAUCGGCUAACUCCGUGCCAGCAGCCGCGGUAAUACGGAGGAUGCGAGCGUUAUCCGGAUUCACUGGGUGUAAAGGGAGCGUAGACGGCCAUGCAAGCCUGGAGUGAAAGCCCGGGGCCCAACCCCGGGACUGCUCUGGGAACUGUGCGGCUGGAGUGCGGGAGGGGCAGGCGGAAUUCCUGGUGUAGCGGUGAAAUGCGUAGAUAUCAGGAGGAACACCGGCGGCGAAGGCGGCCUGCUGGACCGCGACUGACGUUGAGGCUCGAAAGCGUGGGGAGCAAACAGGAUUAGAUACCCCAGUAG
This 469-nucleotide ribosomal RNA is filed under the name uncultured bacterium. RNAcentral describes it as "bacterial SSU rRNA". It matches the Rfam family "Bacterial small subunit ribosomal RNA", at positions 328 to 793 of the family's 1533-position model. The record is from RNAcentral.